RNAcentral lists this ribosomal RNA (253 nucleotides) under uncultured Prevotella sp. RNAcentral's name for it is "partial 16S ribosomal RNA". It matches the Rfam family "Bacterial small subunit ribosomal RNA", at positions 524 to 776 of the family's 1533-position model. Lineage: Bacteria; Pseudomonadati; Bacteroidota; Bacteroidia; Bacteroidales; Prevotellaceae. The record is from RNAcentral.
UACGGAAGGUCCGGGCGUUAUCCGGAUUUAUUGGGUUUAAAGGGAGCGUAGGCCGGUCUUUAAGCGUGCCGUGAAAUUUUGUGGCUCAACCAUGAGAGUGCGGCGCGAACUGGAGACCUUGAGUGCGCGGAAGGCAGGCGGAAUUCGUGGUGUAGCGGUGAAAUGCUUAGAUAUCACGAAGAACCCCGAUUGCGAAGGCAUCUCACGAAUCCGCGAUUGACGCUGAUGCACGAAAGCGUGGGUAUCAAACAGG